CUACAUUGUUUUCCCCUUUCCAAUUCCCUUAAGAGACCAAACCCCUUAUUCCCCUAUUCUCGAAGAACGGAUCCCCCCCUUUUAGAAACCCUCGUCGUCCCCCUAAUUCCCAUUUUCUCCGAAAAACAAACGAGACCCCCCUGAAAACAAAAGUCCUAGCCGCCUCCCUCCUCCUCCUCUUCUUCUUCUCUCUCGAGUAGCCAUGAGUUUUGAAAAAAUAUCAAUCUCUGCCAAUUUGCUGGACGAAUCCGGUUGGUUUUCAAAGUCGAAUAGAGUUCUUAAGGGGUUGUUUGUUGCUAGGACUGUGGCUGAGCCCCAUUCAUUGCUUAUCCUAUCUUUAUUUGGGUUCAAUCGAGUUUCUGCUUUUAGAUUUAGGUAUGCAUCUAUAAAACUAUACUUUUGUUGUCGAAAUAAUUAAAAUUUGCUCAUGUCAUUUCCGGCUUCUGAUGUGCUUCUAUACGAGUUUUAUGAAUUGGGCAGUAAAUUCCUGAUCUAGCCUUUAUAUGCUUAGCUUGUUUGUGAAAGAAUGGCUUAGAAUCCUCAUAUGUUGGUACUGAGUUAUGUGUUUUAUUUGAUUAAAGGUGUUUGAUAAGCAGUAUGCAAAAAUAGUUAUUGCGAUGGAAAGGUUCAUUCUACCUUUUUCAUACUCAGAUUUCUUAAUCAUUUCUUUUCAUAUUUGUUUGUUCAUGAAUUUCUAUCCAUAUGUAUUGUGUGACUUCUGUUAAAUGCUUAUUAUAUAGGGUCGUUAGUUGGAUUUUUCCUUGAGUGCUUCGUUGUGAACUGAAUUGUGUUUUAGAGUUUGGGUAACAGUGAAUGCUUAAGCUCUUUUAUUUGAUUUCAUGAAUAUUGGAUUGUUUUAUAUAAUUUGCUAAGUUAACUCUUUACAUCUUUGUUAACCAAAUAGAGAAGAAGGUUGUAGGAUUUGUUUUUAAAUUUAUCUAGUUAUUUUAUUAAGGUUGAAUCCACAAAUGCAUAACAUGUUGAAUAUUAUUGGGUUUGAAAAGUUAUUCCUCCGUAUGGACUAAACUGAUUUCAACCAAGAAUGAGGCUGAGCGAUUUACUAUCUGUCUAGCCCAUUCAAAAACAAAGGCUCGCGGACCCAAUAUCUCCUAUACUAAUAGUUUGAUAAUUCCAAAAGUUAAAAUGCUUCACUAUCUCCAACAAUUCCAUGUCCAUAACUUAUCGCCCUACUAUAAUAUCAAAUUAGUUUUAGGGAAAUAACUCAUAAUACGCUAGAAUGCUUUAGGAGCGCUUUUAAUCUAUUAUCGUGAUUAUGUACACGUUUGCAUGACAUAAUUAUGAUUCCCAAAAUAAAUCAAGGUAUGCGUUUACGUGACUUUGGCUGAACAAUCUUAGUAAUUCAUAAGGCGUGAUUAAUUGUGUACACGUACACAUGAUAUGAUUUUAACGCCUCCAAAUAAAACGGAUUUAUACACAUGUAAUUCAUUUCAAAGAUAAAUCCAUAACGCCAUAAUAAAAAGCGGUGAAAGGUAUACACAUAGGUUCUAAAAUACAUAAUUAAAUAAUUAAUUAAGCCAGGUAUGAUUAAAAUAACCAUGCUAAAAUCAUAGAAUCCGGGAGUGCCUCACACCUUCUUUCGGAUUAACAAAAUUCCUUAACUGGUCUUCUAUGUUCGCGGACCAUUAAACAAAGUCAAUUUCCUCGGUUUGAGAUUUUAAAACAAAUCGGUGACUUGGGACACCAUAAUAAAUAUUUCAAGUGGAGACUCCAAUUAAAUAAAUAAUCUCAUUUUGAUUAAUGUCACUUUAAUCGUCAAAACUCCCUAUCCCUUCAGAAAAAGGAGGUGUGACAGCUCUGGCGACUCUGCUGGAGAUCGAACCCAGAAUCUCUGGUUCAGGGUUCAGAAUUCGAGCUUGUAAUGUGAUCUAUACUUGGCUUUCUUGAUUGUUGAUAUUACUGUGUUUGUGGGCCUAACGUGUUAAUUGUCGCUCAUUUACCCCUUUAAUAUUGUAUAAAAUGUCUUCUUAAGUCUUCCUUCUAAGUCUUCUGAACUAUUGGUGCACACGUGCGUGUGACCUACUUUUCUGUUAGAGAUCAUACCAAAUAGAGCAAGGCUAGAUCAGUAACUAGGCCGGGUAGACUUUCGUAAUUCCGGUUUGUUGCCCCCACCUCGGCUCGAGCUGUCCGCUUGGGUAAGCCAGGUCUAAAACACUCCCCCCUCUAGGAUUUUAAAGUUGGAAUAACAUAGCCUCAUGAUGGAUCCCUAGCAGGAACAUUUAUUUGCAUCACGUGCAUUUAACUUUGGAGACUCAACACAGGAGUUGGAUCCUGAUAGGACAGAUGUACCCAAAAUAAGAGACUAUCAUGAUGCAUGCUACGUGCUAUUUGUGCAUUUGUUUGUUUCGGCUUACAUGUUGAUCGACUUCUAGAAUGGGGAAAGAAAAUCAGGAAAUACCAAGAGUGAGGUAGGAGACAGAAAAUUUACCCGGUUCUGAAAACCCCAAGUUUUGGAAAAUCCUAAAACUCUGCCAAAAUUUUGAAAAAAAAGGUGAAAAAGAAACGUCAUCUCAAGGUAAGUCAAUAUUUUCAAAAGUCAUAUUUUUCCUGUUGUGUCAAAACUGACCGAACUACGCGAUUUAAUUCUCACUGAAUGUGAGAUACGUAGGCAAUCCUCAUUGAAUUCGGCCCAUAAUUUUAAAAAAAAUCCAAAAAUAUUUUCCUUUACUUCCUUCUUUAGAAAAGUCUUUCUUUGAGACCCCAAUUUUCAAAAUAUCCAAAAAAGUAUUUUCCUUUUUCUUAAUUACCUCUUUAGAUUUCUUUACUUAGAAAAUCAAAAAAAUCAAAAAAUAUUUUUCUUCUUUUCCGAAGUCUUUCAUUCAUAAAGAAAAAAGAAAAGAAAAACAAAUUUCAAAUCAAAAUCCAAAAUAUUUUCUUUCUUCUUUAGAAGUCUUUCUUUCGAAAUUCCAAAACAAAAAUCAAUCAAAAUCCAAAAUAUUUUCUUGUUAAAGAGCUUUUUGUGGUACAUUUUCAAAAAAAAAAAAGAGACAAAAGAUGGUGAAUAAAUUAGAAAAAAGAGUUAGUUCAUUUACUUUGUUUCUGGUAUCCCUGAACUACGUAAUGAUCUGAUUCAUGCGACGUCAUGAUAUUUAGACAAUUCCCAUAGGAAGCGAUCAUAGCCAUAACAAACAGAGGAAAAAUAACAAAAAAGAACGAAAAAGAAAAAAAAGGAGAAAAAUUGAGUGAAAAACAAACAAAAAAAAAGAAAAAAGAAAAGAAAAUAAAGAGUGACAAAAACAAGAGGGAAAAAUCAAGAGUGAUGAGAUCAAAAAUAAAGAGAAUGGUAAAAUCAACAAAGAGCCAGAAAUGGAAGAAAAGAGUGCAGACAUUUGAAAGCCGAGAUGAAACACGCAACCGUUCAAACGCAUGGUAGAAGCGUUUAACUGUUUAGGUGCAUUGCAUCCCAACGUGCAAUUUCCUAAUGGUUAAAUGCCUCAAAACUAACAAGGUUGUUGUGCGUGCAAUUUAGCCCGGUUCUAUUCAGGUGGUUGGUUUUGUUGGUAAUCUGGCUUUCCAUCCCUACUUCACAAGAUCUAAAGACAAAGUCCCUAUGGCCUCCGAAAGUCAUCUACCAAUUAUUGAUCCUGAGAAUAGCCCGGCAUCGGUUAUUCCACAACCGGAAUCAGCAAAUGCUAAAGAGAAUAGAAUGUUGCAUCUUGGCAUGCUAGAGAUGUAGGACAAAUGGUCUAAUGGGAGGGAACCGCCGAGUGCAAUCCCUGGGUUUCCUGAUUUGAUCCUGAGAUCAUGUAGGGCUACCAACGUCCCUGUGUCCGACUCAUUUAUCCGGUGCGGAUACCCUCUAAUGACGUUUAACAGUCCUGGCAUGCAUUCUAUGGUUCAACCCCAGGCACCGAUUUCAAGGGCACCGCCAACAAUGUUCUUUGUAGCACCAGCCUGCGCCACAACACGACCAACUAUGCCACGACUGUAUGUUGAGCCUCCAACGUUCACCUUUCAGGGUCCACAACUUCAACCAAAAAUAAUAUAUGUGACCCCAUACUCAUCCACUCAACCUACGCAAUAUGACUUCUUAGUUGAGCAAGAAAAAGUUGUCAAGAAUCCCGAGUAAGAGGAAAUGGCUCGAAAGAUAAAAAGCUUGGAGCAGAGUUUAAAGAACAUGCAAGGCUUGAGUCGCCAAAAAGGAGUCUCUUACGCUGACUUGUGCAUGUUUCCCCAUGUCUACUUGUCAGCUGGCUUCAAGAUGCCAAAAUUUGAAAGGUAUGAUGGGCACGGAGACCCGAUCGCUCAUCUAAAACAAUACUGUAACCAGCCGAGGGGCGCUUGUGGAAAAAAGGAGCUGUUAAUGGCAUAUUUUGGAGAAAGUCUCACCGAAAGUGCUUCCGAAUGAUACAUGGAUCAAGAAAUGACCCAUUGACAUGUAUGGUACAAUUUGGCCAGAGAUUUUGUCCGCCAGUUCCAGUAUAAUAUGGACAUCGCUCCCGGCAGAAACUCUUUGUCCAAUUUGGAGAAAAAAAACCACGAAAAGUUUCUGUGAAUAUGCUGUCAAAUGGCGCGAGCAAGCCUCCAGGGUAAAGCCUCAAAUGGACGGAGCAUAAAUGGUUACGGUCUUCCUAUAGGCCCAAGAGACGGACUACUUCCAGAACAUGAUGUUCGCUAUGGGUAUGUCGUUCGCCGAGGUUAUCAAAAUUGGGGAGAUGGUAGAAUAUGGUUUUAAAAUGGGCUGAAUCAUGAGUCAUGAUGCCUUUAAGGCCACAUCACAGGAUGUUCAGAAUGGUUCGGGGGGCUUGAUGAACAGAUACAAGAGAGAAGAGAGAGCCAUGAUGGUUUCGAACUCGAGGGGGCCCGUAUGUCAUUCAACCAAUCAUAUUUGUUUUCUAAGGUCUCGCAACACUAUUAUCACCAUCAAAAUGCUGCUUAUGUCGUGGCACCGCCUCCCUAUGCGGUGAAGAAUGCGCAACCUUACAUGCGACCAUAACAUUAUAUACAAAAUCGAGCUCCACCUCCCAGAAAUGCUCGUUCCUACCAAGCUUCAUAUAAUCCCAACCAAAUGAUCCCCAAUAAAAUCCUUGCCCAAGAGAGUCUCUCAGAAAGAAUCAAUUCACCCCUAUUGGUGAAUCAUACUCGAGCUUGUUUCAAAAGCUAGUCAGGCUAGGUCUGCUGCAGCCCAUGGCUCCAAAUCGGCCAAACCCCGAGUCCCCCUCACACCGGGCUAAUACUAUAUGUGCAUACCACUCUGGAGCAGUGAGACAUGAUACAGAAGGCUGUUGGACUCUUAAAAGAGUAGUGGAAGACCUCAUAGAGGUCAAGGCAAUAGUGCUUCGGGAUGAAGAUGCCCCUAAAAUGACGAACAAUCCUCUAACUACUCAUACCAGUGGACCAGUAGUUGGAAUGAUCUGUGAAGAUGAGGAAUUUGAUCCGGAACUAAAGGCCAUUGCCGUCAUUGACGAGAUAGAAGAAAAGCAAAAAAACAGUCAUCAAACCUGAAAGUUCCCUGUUAGGCGGGAGUCUCGGUGGCCGGUCUUGCUAUCCUUUCUACGUCCAGAUUAUUUCAGGGUGUAAUCCGGAUAUUUUACUUUUAUUGUCUUACUUUCCAAUGUAAACUCUUGUAUCUUUAUAAUUCAAAUAAAUGAAAUAAAUAUUUCAUCGUCCAUAUCUUUUUUUUUUUACUUUGUCACUUCGCUUGUUCUUUGUUCAGUUAUGUUAAAUGCAGCUUUCAAUAACAUGACAUGCUUGCGGACUUCAUGCCUAGAUCCUAAAACACGGUCAGACUUCAAAAUAAUGAAUCAAAAAUCAGAAUGUAAUGAAGAUAGGUUUAAGAAAAUAAAACAAAGAAUCGGAACAGCUAAAGGAAAAUUAGCUCCGGAUUGGAAAGGUCCAUACAUUGUAACGAGAGUACUGGUAAAAGAUAGCAUUGUACCUGGGAAACAUCGAAGGAAAUGUCUCUAAAAUAACUGUCAACGCAUGUAUAGUCAAAAGGUACUAUGCUUGAUCCUCUAUAUAACAUUAAUGUUCUCUGGUUGGGAUGAAAAAGGCUUUUAUUCUCGCUACCCAAACACCAUUAACCCUUUUGUCAACCCUUUAAGCUGGUUAUCUUUCUUUGAUUUCCUUCUUUGGAACAUGAAGUGUUAAAAAAAAAGAAGACAAAAAGAAAAGAAGAAAAAUAUAAAUAAAAAUAAAAUAAAAUAAAAAGAAGAAGAAAAAAAUAAAAAUGAAGGAAAACAAAAAAAAAACAAAAACAAAGUCCAUUGAACUACAUUCGGCUUGAUUCCGAAAGGAUACGUAGGUAGCCUCUCUCUGGGAUUCAGUCACACCAAAACAAAAAUCCACAUUCCCCCAAAUGUUGAAACUAGGGCAGAUGUUAUAAUGGUUCGGCGAUGAUUUUUUUCUGAAAGGUCCCAAAGUUGUAAUUCAAUCCGAAUUCGUUUUACCCAAAUCCUUUCUAAGUCCUUCCGAUCAAUCGACAAGAAUGUUCAAAAUUGGAAGAUACAAUUACUUGGAUCUGAUGCAACCAAAAUGAGAGAAAUAAAAUAAGUGAGUCUUAUUGGUGAAAACCUCCUCGGGCACCACAAGACGAUGGUAAGUAGAGAAAAUAAAAUAAGAGAGUCUUGUUAGUGAAAACUCGCAAAGAGCAUUAUAAGGCGAUGGUAAAAAGAGAAAUGAGAGAGGUCCGCCGGUGAAAACCCGGAAAGGGUGUGAUCUAGCAUAAACUCACACCACAAUUAUAGGUAGUGAGGCGGUCGAAGUAAUAAUAAAACCCAAUGCGAGUCGGGUAUUGAUUCCUCAGGGAGUUAGAAAUGGGAUUAGGUAUACACUUAGUGUAAGUGUAUAAUGUGCCACAAUUUGCACUUCCACAUUCUUGUUGGCUGUUUCUAUUUCUACUUAAGGCUAUUGAUUGCAAAUAAUAAACUAGAAGACAAUGUUUUUUAUUGGUUAUUUUUCUAAUGAUAAAGGAUCUAAGAUCGUCACUUCCACCUAGGUGGUUACCUAAUAGGUUGUAAACUCUAGGGCAAGUUUGAUUAGUCGAAAUCGUAAUAUAGCAAUCACACGCAAUUACUCACUCUAUACCUCUCGGUAGUUUGAGUGAUUUUGCCCGAUUUGGCUUUCUCAAGUCCAAAUGGGUAUUUCACAAAUCAAGUGAUGUAUGUUCAAGUCGAGUCUUACUAUCUCUAGAUUUGACCCUUUAAUUGGGGCUAUCAAUUUCUUGACUUCACUCCGCUUCCUUGUUAGCGAAGUUUUCCUAGACUUAGUCUCUCUUUCUCAAGUAGAGACUAAGUCAAAUAGGCAUGAAUCAAUGUUUCAACCAUUGAUUCUAUAAUUCAAGCAUGAACAAGGAUAAUAUCCAAUCACAAACAAGCCCUAAAUUAAAUACCCAUUAAGUACCCACACUAGGGUUGAGCCACAACCAUAACUAAAAAUUUAGAUACUCAUGGAAAACAAAGAAAUACCAGAAGAAAUUAAAAUAGAAUGAUUAAUAAUUGACUAGACAAGGAAAAUCUAAUGUUUAGAAGUUAAACUAGUACAAAAUUACUCUAAAGAGUAAAGAAAACGGCUCAGGUGCACUUCUAAAAUUUGAACUUAACCUAAAAAUGACAAAAAAUUCUUUUUAUACUAAGCUAAAAAUAUCUGAAAAAAUGCCCCUGUGAAAUUUGUGCAGCCACAUAAUAAUGGUGCGGUCAGCACAAUGGUCUUCUUCGGCCGCACAAUUAUCGUUCGGUCCGCACUCUUGGGAAUUUGGGCUUGGAACUUCAGGGCUUCUGCUGUCUGCAUAAAAGUGGGUGCGGCCGCACUUCUGAUUAUGCGGUCGCACAAAAGUGUUGCGGUCCGCAUUUUCUGCUUUUGGACUUGAAACAGCUCUCUGAUUCUUCAAUCUUGCGGACCGCAUAAUAAUGACUGCGGCCGAACUUGACCUCCUGCGGCUACACAAUUUUGGUGCGGUCCGCAUGCCUUUAGCUGGUCCAAACACUACUAUCUGAAUCUCCCCUCUGCGGCCGCACUAGAAUUGUGCGGUUCGCACUGCUGCCCCCUUUUGUCCUGUUUUGGUUCUUGUUCACUUUUGUCUCAUUUAUGAGUUAAUUUUGACUUUUUUUGGCUCGUUCCCAAUAUUCCUGCAAGUAAGUACAUUUCGUUAGUUUCCGGGAAUACCUUUAAGCUUUUUUGAGCUAAAACACAAGUAAAAGAGAGCAAAUAAGCAAUCAAAAUCCCUACCUAUCAACUUCCCCAAACUUAAGCUUUUGCUUGUCCUCAAGUAAAUAAGGCAAUUCCCACCUCCGCUAAGAAAAAAGAUAUUUCAGCUAGCCUAAGGUGAAUCAAUUACAAAUCAAUUGGGACCAGUAAUUACCUACAACACAUAUGAAUUGUCAACAACGCUAUGAUAUGACUUUUUGUGUACAAUAGUUCUAGUAUGACACUGGAGCAUCAAGAGUUGACUCUAUUCAUCAAGGAAGCUCUCUCUUUCAUAUAGGUCAUUGUGGAUCCAAAACUCCUCCUCCUCUACUCUCCAUUAGCAAAUCUCACUUUACAAUGUAACACUCGAAGCAAAGAUUGUGAAAAGUUCGCUCAUCUCUCUCAAAAGAAUGUCACAAGUCCGGCUUUGAGUACCAUAAGCUUGCCCCUUUUGUAAAUCACCACUAAUGUAAGCUCACUCAACUUGAAAUCAUGUAGGGAUUUUGCGGGAUGUAAUNNNNNNNNNNNNNNNNNNNNNNNNNNNNNNNNNNNNNNNNNNNNNNNNNNNNNNNNNNNNNNNNNNNNNNNNNNNNNNNNNNNNNNNNNNNNNNNNNNNNNNNNNNNNNNNNNNNNNNNNNNNNNNNNNNCGUAAUGUCACUCUUUCUUGAUCAUAAGAUUCAUUUUUCUCCUUUUCUAUUUACUUCAGCCUUUCCUCUUUAUUUUCUUUUGAAUUCCCUUCAGCUCUUCACUUUAUUCACUUUCUUUUUGGCAUUUUUCUUUUUGUUCUUUCUUUCUUUUCUUUGCCUUCCCUUUUCUUCAUUUCUUUCUCUUUUUUGUACCUUUUAUCACUUUCAAACUGCUCGUCUCUCCCCUAAACGUACAUUUUUGCCAAUUAUUUCUCAAGAAUGCUAAGGAAAGAUCGGGUGCCAAGAGAGGAUCAUUACAAAACGGAUGAAGGCUUGUAACAUGGUUAUUGAAAGAAAAAGGGCUUCGACUCAAAGGGGUUGACUAGGGAUAUCACACUGUAGGAUAUGUAAGAUUUCAAAUUUUAAAUUGGAUCAAGGAGAACCUACAAUCAUUUCUCAAGCCAAGCUACACUUAGAAUUUCGCAUUGAAAAAUAUUCAGGGCAAGUUCUAGACCGUUAGCACGAGUACUUGGACUUGUAACUAAACAUCUCACCUCUCACGCUUUUGGAUUGCUAAAGAGAACAAAGUCGAGGGCCUACAACAACCCUAGCUCAGAUUGAGAAUCACAAAUUGCUCGAUUUGAACCACUCGAUGACUGCUUAAGUCAACACAAGAGUCAAAAGAGUCAAAACUAAAUCUAUUUUCUGCCAACAACUUGUUUUUAACCAUACGAUCAUAGGUAAAUGUGUUGGUACCAAGUGAAGCAUGAUUGAGCCCCCUUUUAUUCAUUACUACUAUAUUUGCCAAAACAUAAAAGAAACAGACUCAAUCCCUUAAGAAGGUUAUCACGCCAUCCAUCAUUGGGAAGAGCCACCCAGUUCACACAUAAUCAACCUUUGGAAAGAACCAUGAUAUUAAGAAAACCAAAGGCUUAUUGUUCACUCAAAACGUAAAACGAAACUAGCAAAUUAAAAAGAAGCUACUAAAGUAAAUAAGAAGUUAUACUACUAAGGAAAAGUAAACUAAAGAAGCUAUUAAAUAAACUACGGAAAGCGAGAUAAAUGUAUAUACAAACCGAAGUCAAAUGAAUAUAUACAUAAGGGAAAAGAAUAUAUACAUAAGGGAAAUGAAUAUUUACAUCAAAUAGAGAGAAUAUAUACAUGUCAAAGGAAAAUAAAGAUGAAAGAAAAAAUAGUAUCAGAGUUAUUACAACCCAAAUGUCAAAUAAUCAAAAUAGACCACCCCCCAAAUGAAAAUAAGCAGUGUCCCCAAUGCUUAACAAAAAUAAGAACAGGGAAAGGGUAGAGAUUUAAUAGAACUCCCUAUGUGGUCUCAGUCUGCAUAAGAUCAUCAACAACCUCGGCCUCAAGCUGUAUCUCAUCAUCACCAGGAUGAGGAACAAUAGGGUUGCUGAGCAUCUGGAUCAUCUCGUCAGCGGUGUGGGCAGUCGCACCCGGCUCCUCAGACUGGCCGGCUGCUGCCUCAGGUGCUGCUGGUCGUGCCUGUGCUGCUGGGGCUGCUGACUCCAUGAGCAGGUCCAAUGGUAAAUCACUGGCAAAUGUAAUCUUCUCAAUCUCCUUUCUCAGCUUGUGUACCGACUUCUUUGACGCUUGAGACUUCUACAUCUUCUUUACUUGUUCGCCUAAAUCUUCAAUGGCUUUCCCUUGUGCCACCACUUUAGCCAUGAUAAUCUUCUGGUCGGCCAUAAUCUUCUUCAAUGUUUCCUCUAUUGACGAAGGUACCUAUGGCUCUGCUGGGGAUGAAGACUAUGCUGCAACAACACUGUAUAUAUUAGUUAGCUUUGUAGUAGUUGCCUGCAUCCAGUUGUUGAGACUCGCUAAUGUCUGGGAGACUCGCAGAGCAGUCUGAGGAUAAGUAAAGGAAGCUGACACUGGUAGUGGCACUGAUAAUCUAGCAGAAGCAGGUGGUCCGGAGGUUAAAUGUGGCAUGGUUACUGUCCCGGUGGAAGUACCGACUGCUGUGGAAGGCUCGACAGCUGAAUCAGUAACUACUACCACUAACUCCUCAGACUAGCCAGUAGAGGUAGUAGCUUUACCCUUGAACUUCGAGUUGUCAACUCCCUAGAGGUGGUACCAUGAGAAAGGCUUCUUAGCCUUUACCUCGGUGUCAUAAUGCUUCCGCACCACCCCUUGAUCCUUGAAGUAUUCUGUGAGAAAGUUCAGGUACGGAUAGGAUCUCUCACCCUUCUGGACAGCUAAAGUGAUGUUGGUGGACAUGAUGACACCAACAUUUAUCAGAUACUCAGCCAUAAUCGAAGCCACCAAAACUGCAUAGGGAAGUAUGAGCAUGUUUUCAUUGAGGCAUGGGUCAAUGCGACUACACACGAACAUUUUCCACCCUUUUGCUUUAAUGUUUAGUGUGGCCCGGGCAAGUGGAACUCCUGCUGUGAGUGAUAACUAGGGAUUUUAACGCAUGUUAUACUCCUUCUUGCUUAUGCUUUGGUUAAAUAUUCAUACAAAAUAGUCCCAAAAGGCUCAUAAAUUGUGCUUGAUUGUAGGUUUGGUCAAAAAACUGACAAGAUGUCAAAGAUCAGCUCAAAAGGAGUGAAACCUGCACAAGUGCCAAAGAAAAGACAAGCUUGGGCAAAAUAGGUCCAGUGCGGCCGCACACCAUUUUGUGCGGUCUGCACUAGGAGGUUUAGAGAGCAGGUUUUUCAGGCUAAAAGACAAUGCGGCCGCACUACCAUUCUGUGUGAUCCGCAGAGCCAAGAUUCAGAGAAGUUGAAGUUGGAGCUUUCAAGCCAAUGCGGUCAGCAAUCCACUUUGUGCGGACCGCACUAGAAGUCACCGCAGCCGUAGUCCAUUCUAUGCGGUCCGCGGAGCCUGAGUUCAGGGAGCUGGAUUUUGAAGCCAAGAGUCCUAGUGUGGCUGCAGUCCAUUCUGUGUGGUACGCACUAACCCCGCAGGGGCAUUUUUGUCCAGAUUUUUCAACUUAGUAUAAUUAGAACCUUUUUUCCAUUUUUAGGUCAUCAGAUAGAUUUUAGAAGCAGCUGCGCUCGUGGGAACGACUCUUGUAGCCAUUUUGAGCAAUUUUACUUACUUUUCAUCAUUGAAUCUUUG
Molecule: long non-coding RNA, 11849 nt
Filed under: Nicotiana tabacum (common tobacco)
Lineage: Eukaryota; Viridiplantae; Streptophyta; Magnoliopsida; Solanales; Solanaceae
Description: long non-coding RNA (NTAB_LNC009866)
Source: RNAcentral